CCCUUAGAUGUUCUGGGCCGCACGCGCGCUGCACUGAUGAAUUCAACGAGCACUAACCUGUGCCGAAAGGUUCGGGUAAUCUUGUGAAAUUUCAUCGUGAUGGGGAUUGAUUAUUGCAAUUUUUAAUCAUAAACGAGGAAUGCCUAGUAAGCGUGAGUCAUCAGCUCACGUUGAUUACGUCCCUGCUCUUUGUACACACCGCCCGUCGCUCCUACCGAUUGAAUGUGCCAGUGAAAAGUUAGGAUUGGGCGUGGGAGACGGCAACGUAUUCCACAUCCGAGAAAAUCUUUAAACUUUCCCAUUUAGAGGAAGGAGAAGUCGUAACA
RNAcentral lists this ribosomal RNA (326 nucleotides) under uncultured eukaryote. RNAcentral describes it as "partial 18S ribosomal RNA". It matches the Rfam family "Eukaryotic small subunit ribosomal RNA", at positions 1470 to 1796 of the family's 1831-position model. The record is from RNAcentral.